CCUACGGGUGGCAGCAGUGGGGAAUAUUGCACAAUGGGGGAAACCCUGAUGCAGCAACGCCGCGUGAGUGAAGAAGUAUUUCGGUAUGUAAAGCUCUUUCAGCAGGGAAGAAGAUGACGGUACCUGAUUAAGAAGCCCCGGCUAACUACGUGCCAGCAGCCGCGGUAAUACGUAGGGGGCAAGCGUUAUCCGGAUUUACUGGGUGUAAAGGGAGCGCUGACGGCAGUGCAAGUCUAGAGGGAAAGCCCGGGGCCAAACCCCGGAACUGCGCUGGAAACUGUGCGGCUAGAGUGCUGGAGGGGCAGGAGGAAUGCGUGGUGUAGCGGUGAAAUGCAUAGAUAUCAGGAGGAACACCAGUUGCGAAGGCGGCCUGCUGGACAGUAACUGACGUUGAGGCUCGAAAGCGUGGGGAGCAAACAGGAUUAGAUACCCGAGUAGUC
RNAcentral lists this ribosomal RNA (440 nucleotides) under uncultured bacterium. RNAcentral describes it as "partial 16S ribosomal RNA". It matches the Rfam family "Bacterial small subunit ribosomal RNA", at positions 338 to 795 of the family's 1533-position model. The record is from RNAcentral.